This 572-nucleotide ribosomal RNA is filed under the name Cystobasidium alpinum. RNAcentral's name for it is "partial large subunit ribosomal RNA". It matches the Rfam family "Eukaryotic large subunit ribosomal RNA", at positions 100 to 659 of the family's 3401-position model. Lineage: Eukaryota; Fungi; Basidiomycota; Cystobasidiomycetes; Cystobasidiales; Cystobasidiaceae. The record is from RNAcentral.
UGGGAAAGCUCAACUUUGAAAUCUGGCACCUUCGGUGUCCGAGUUGUAGUCUCAAGAAAAGUUUUCUGUGCCGGCCCGUGUAUGAGUCUGUUGGAACACAGCGUCAUAGAGGGUGACAACCCCGUUCAUGACACGGAUCCCGGUGCUUUGUGAUACUUUCUCGAAGAGUCGAGUUGUUUGGGAAUGCAGCUCAAAUUGGGUGGUAAAUUCCAUCUAAAGCUAAAUAUUGGCGAGAGACCGAUAGCAAACAAGUACCGUGAGGGAAAGAUGAAAAGCACUUUGGAAAGAGAGUUAACAGUACGUGAAAUUGUUGAAAGGGAAACGAUUGAAGUCAGACGUGCGUGAUGCGGUUCAGCUUUAGUUCGCUAGAGUGUACUCCGUAUCUUUGCAGGCCAACAUCGGUUUUGUUAGUCGGAUAAAGGUUAGAGAAAUGUGGCACCUUCGGGUGUGUUAUAGUCUCUGACUGAAUACGAUUGAUGGGACCGAGGAACGCAGCGCGCCGCAAGGCAAAGGUUCCGACCUUUUCGCGCUUAGGAUGUUGGUGAAAUGGCUUUAAACGACCCGUCUUGAAC